This is a long non-coding RNA of Bos taurus (domestic cattle), 1137 nucleotides long. NCBI's taxonomy places the organism in Eukaryota, Metazoa, Chordata, Mammalia, Artiodactyla, Bovidae. The record is from Ensembl.
UUCUAAGCCUUGCCUAAUCAGUUUUAAGUAAUGUUUAUGUAAAUUUGAAAAUUGAAUAGAAGGAAUUAAUAUUAUAACAAGGGUGAUUCUUAAAUUAAGGCAUGUUUAUCUGAGAAAUAAGAACCCACAAGAGUGGCUUGCCCAUUGUUGCCAGUUUCUAUGUUUCCUUUAGGAUUUUGCAAAUGGGCAUCAUUUCUAUUUUUGGCCCAGUUUCCAUUUCCUUGGUAACAAGGAUCCUGCAAAUAGAGGACUGUGAGUCCUAUAAGGUUCACAGACCACAAGCAGGGCUCACUCAGGUCUCUCAGAGUGUGCUGAGAAUCCACAGCACUGCUAAGGAGAGGAAACAAGAAGUCACUGGCCAAGGAUAUUGUGUUCACUGUUUAUAUCCUGUUGCCUUGGAUUUUCAGUGUUUCACUUUACUUUCUAUGCCAAAUAUUUUACACAGUCAAUUUCUGACUAAAAGCCAGUGAAAUUAAAUAAACAGGGAAGUGUGGAAUGAAACAGAAGCACUGAGAAUUUGGGCGAGGGUUGUCUACCUCCAGGGCUAAGACGGUGGUGAAGCAGGUGCUUUGGUCCACUUCUCUGAAAGUCUACCUGCUCAGUGCCCUCUGGAUCCCUACAUUCAAGGUCCAAAACUCCUUUCUUCCACGCCUACCUCCACUGAUGGCCAGUGGACCUAGUGCCAUCUGACGGAACCUUACAAAGGCUAACUGAGCAAGUGUGUAUGGGCUGAGGUUUUCAUAAGUUAACCUUUUGAAAAUCAGUUUUUAACUCUUAAACCCAAAAAAGUUAAUGUGAGAUGUCAAAUUUUCCCCAGUGAAUUAAUAAUUAGUAUCUGUUUUUUCAAAACCGUAUCAGUUCAGUUCUUUCAUUCAUUCGUGUCUGACUCUGUGACCUCAUGGACUGCAGCAUUCCAGGCUGCAGUCCAUGGGGUCGAGAAGAGUUGGACACGAAUGAGCGACUUCACUUUCACUUUUCACUUUCAUGCAUUGGAGAAGGAAAUAGCAACCCACUCCAGUGUUCUUGCCUGGAGAAUCCCAGGGAUGGCAGAGCCUGGUGAGCUGCUGUCUAUGGGGUCGCACAGAGUCAGACACGACUGAAGCAGCUUAGUAGUAGUAGUAGUAGACUAAUAACCUC